CAAAUGCAGCAGGCGACUUAGCUAAUUUGUUAGCUAAAUAGGCCACUACUUGUGGGUUUUUGGGAACAUAUUUUUCAGUUGAGGCUAGGAAAACAGCUCAGCCUGUUAUGAGCGUUGCAGUUUGAUGUCACUACGAUGUAGUAACAUUGCCCAAAUUCCAUAAGCUGGGUCUCUGAAAAAGGUAGCUUAACACAUCAAGGACCACGCAAAGAUGACAGCACCAUCACAGGAAUAUGUUUCUUACCUCUACGAGAGGCUCUAUGCCAAGCUGUCUGAUGACAGCUUUCAUGACAUUUGGAGCAUUGUUGGCUUUAUCAUCAUAUUCCUAUUCUGCUGUCUGAUGAUCACCUUGUUCAUGACUGUCUUGUUUACCUCAUGUUGUGGACGGUAUUUUGAGAGUCCACCAAGCAAAAUGAACAAAGUUGAUGCAGUACCUUCUACACCUUUGGGACCCACUUUUCCAGCUUCAGAUGGGUCACAUAUGACAGUGUACAAUGCUCCAUCGACUGUCAUGGAUAAGCCAGGACAUGUGAAGGAGUCAGGCAGUCAGAAGAAAGUGGCAAAGCCGGCCCCACAUGGACCACAACCACACGAAAAGGGUGUGGACAAACCAAAGAAAUCAAAGCAUAAGCACAAGGCUGCUAAUAAAGUCAAGUCUCAAAGCCAAAGCAAGAAACACUUGAAGGAAACACAUUGAUAAAUGUGAAUGUAAUUUAGGUAAUUCAGGUUAGUUUUAGCUGUACACCUGCCAGUUCUGUCACCAUGUUUCCUAUUCAAAUAAAGAACAUUCAUAAUAUGCCAUAA
Molecule: long non-coding RNA, 804 nt
Organism: Sardina pilchardus (European sardine)
Lineage: Eukaryota; Metazoa; Chordata; Actinopteri; Clupeiformes; Clupeidae
Exons: 3
Source: RefSeq, a predicted model, not a curated record